Molecule: ribosomal RNA, 886 nt
Filed under: Pseudomonas syringae pv. actinidiae
Lineage: Bacteria; Pseudomonadati; Pseudomonadota; Gammaproteobacteria; Pseudomonadales; Pseudomonadaceae
Description: partial 23S ribosomal RNA
Rfam family: Bacterial large subunit ribosomal RNA
Source: RNAcentral
GGGGACCAUCCUCCAAGGCUAAAUACUCCUGACUGACCGAUAGUGAACCAGUACCGUGAGGGAAAGGCGAAAAGAACCCCGGCGAGGGGAGUGAAAUAGAACCUGAAACCGUGUACGUACAAGCAGUGGGAGCACUCUUUAUGGGUGUGACUGCGUACCUUUUGUAUAAUGGGUCAGCGACUUAUAUUCUGUAGCAAGGUUAACCGUAUAGGGGAGCCGCAGGGAAACCGAGUCUUAACUGGGCGUUAAGUUGCAGGGUAUAGACCCGAAACCCGGUGAUCUAGCCAUGGGCAGGUUGAAGGUUGGGUAACACUAACUGGAGGACCGAACCGACUAAUGUUGAAAAAUUAGCGGAUGACUUGUGGCUGGGGGUGAAAGGCCAAUCAAACCGGGAGAUAGCUGGUUCUCCCCGAAAGCUAUUUAGGUAGCGCCUCGUGAACUCAUCUUCGGGGGUAGAGCACUGUUUCGGCUAGGGGGCCAUCCCGGCUUACCAACCCGAUGCAAACUGCGAAUACCGAAGAAUGUUAUCACGGGAGACACACGGCGGGUGCUAACGUCCGUCGUGAAGAGGGAAACAACCCAGACCGCCAGCUAAGGUCCCAAAGUCAUGGUUAAGUGGGAAACGAUGUGGGAAGGCCCAGACAGCCAGGAUGUUGGCUUAGAAGCAGCCAUCAUUUAAAGAAAGCGUAAUAGCUCACUGGUCGAGUCGGCCUGCGCGGAAGAUGUAACGGGGCUAAAACCAUGCACCGAAGCUGCGGGCAGCGACGCUCAGGCGUUGAUGCGGUAGGGGAGCGUUCUGUAAGCCGUGUGAAGGUGAGUUGAGAAGCUUGCUGGAGGUAUCAGAAGUGCGAAUGCUGACAUAAGUAACGAUAAUGCGGGUGAAAAA